This 1330-nucleotide long non-coding RNA is filed under the name Mus musculus (house mouse). Its description in RNAcentral is "long non-coding RNA chr5:74575946-74577276". Lineage: Eukaryota; Metazoa; Chordata; Mammalia; Rodentia; Muridae. The record is from RNAcentral.
GUUUUUUGAGACAGGGUUUCUCUCUGUAGCCCUGGCUGUAGACCAGGCUGACCUCGAACUCAGAAAUCGGCCUGCCUCUGCCUCCCGAGUGCUGGGAUUAAAGGCAGGCGCCACCACGCCCGACUAGUUUUUCUUCUUAAGAUAAUAGAAAGAUUGCAUAUCUAGAUUUACUUUGAACAGACCUAACUUACACCUUUUAUCACUACAUAACUAUUAUUCUUGCUUUGGAAGUUAAUAUUUGUAGUCAUUUCUGUGUGGAGGUUUAUAGAUAGGAUUCAUAUAAGUGAAUAUUCUUAAAUAGUUCUUAAAAUUAUGAGCUGAAAAGGUCUGGAGAGAUGGGUCAGCAGUUGAGAACACUGGCUGCUCUUGCAGAAGACCUGGUUUUGUUUCCCAGCACCUAUGUGGUGGCUCACAACCAUCUGUGACUCCUGUAUCUGGUACUCUCUUCUGACCUCCAGGGGCACUGGGUAUGCAUGUGGUAUGCAUACAUAUAUUUAGAUGAAACACCCAUACAGAUAAAUAAAUCUGAAUUUUUUUCAGAAAAUAUAAGCUGACAGGAACAGUUCUAAGACAUAGUCAAAUAGUUGACAGGAAGUGUAUUGUUCCUCUUUUCCUCAAAACAUUCAUCUGAACACAUGUAUGAACCUCAUUCAUUGAAUGAAGAGUAGAGGAGGCUACUUCAGACAAAGACAGAAGAGACCUCUGAGAAUGCUAAUGUUUUUAAUAUAAUCACAUUAGUAGUAACAUGAAAACAAAUAGUGAUUAGUCAUGGCUUCUGUAAUUAAAGAUCUGCUCACUGUCUAACGAAUCAAAAUUCUAUUCUGUAAGGUUGUUACAGGAACACAUUAGUAUAAUUCCGUGCUCUUCCAAGUAAUAGUGGAACACUAACUAGUAUCUAAUAUGUUGACUGCUUCUUUUCUUAAGGCACUGGUAUGAGUACAGCCCGUCAACAACCUAACCCUGUAAACUUAUUUUAGAAUGACACUUGAAGUGGAUACUAGUGAGGUUUCAAAAUUUAUCCAGUUAACUUGAAAAUAGCAGAAUAGAGAAUGCCAGAUACUUUUCUGGCCUGAUUUCUUUGUUAACCACAUUGAAGUGGGUAUGUACCUACUAAGAAGGCUGUCAUAGGAUUGUGUACAUGCAUAGCAGCAUCUUAGAAGACUUUUUCUGUCCUCAGUGUCAAGUUCAGAGAUCUGGGAGCUUGUAAGAGCAGAAUUAGGUGUUCUUUCAUCCAUUCAACUAAGGUGUCAUAUCCACUGGAAUUGCAUUAUCUUAUGCUUAACUGACAGGUUUGAAAUAAUUGAAAAUUAGAAUAAAAUACUAUAAAAUU